This 253-nucleotide ribosomal RNA is filed under the name uncultured bacterium. RNAcentral describes it as "partial 16S ribosomal RNA". It matches the Rfam family "Bacterial small subunit ribosomal RNA", at positions 524 to 776 of the family's 1533-position model. The record is from RNAcentral.
UACGUAGGGUGCAAGCGUUAAUCGGAAUUACUGGGCGUAAAGCGUACGCAGGCGGCUUUGCAAGACAGGUGUGAAAUCCCCGGGCCUAACCUGGGAACUGCAUUUGUGACUGCAUAGCUAGAGUUUGUCAGAGGGGGGUGGAAUUCCACGUGUAGCAGUGAAAUGCGUAGAGAUGUGGAAGAACACCGAUGGCGAAGGCAGCCCCCUGGGAUGUGACUGACGCUCAUGUACGAAAGCGUGGGGAGCAAACAGG